This 253-nucleotide ribosomal RNA is filed under the name uncultured bacterium. RNAcentral describes it as "partial 16S ribosomal RNA". It matches the Rfam family "Bacterial small subunit ribosomal RNA", at positions 524 to 776 of the family's 1533-position model. The record is from RNAcentral.
UACAGAGGGUGCGAGCGUUAAUCGGAAUUACUGGGCGUAAAGCGUGCGUAGACGGUUAUUUAAUUCGGAUGUGAAAGCCCCGGGCUCAACCUGGGAAUUGCAUUCGAGACUGAAUAGCUAGGGUACGGUAGAGGGAAGCGGAAUUUCCGGUGUAGCGGUGAAAUGCGUAGAUAUCGGAAGGAACAUCAGUGGCGAAAGCGGCUUCCUGGACCAGUACCGACGUUCAGGCACGAAAGCGUGGGGAGCAAACAGG